UUUCCUUACACAUAGGUUCUUAAAAGGAAAGACUUUGCUUUCCUCUCUUUGCCAUCUUCCCCACUUAUCUCAAGAUAGUGAUGAAGAUUCAAGGGCAAAACACAAGGAAAAGAACCGUUAAUCCCUUGUUGAAUGUCUAAAAGCUAUCACAAUUUGAUUAAAAUAAAUAGUUGUAUUAAAUCAGUAAAUCUGUUUCUGAGUUGUCCGAGGUUGAAUUAACCAGGUGGGAAAAAAGAAGAUGCUGAGUCCUGCUCUGAGAAAUCGGAAGAGGAAACUGAUCGUACUUCAACGGGGACAAUAUGAGCAUCAGAGUUUAUGAAAGGAAGAGCCAGGGAAAGGAAAAAGAUCCCAUUCACUAAUGCUUUAACAACUGAAAGGCCCACCCACAAGCUUCACGUCUUUUCUCUCAAAUCUCUUCCUUCAGGUAUGGAUCAUCCUUUGUGGUUGAUGUUUAGAGAUGUGAUAUGAAACUGAAGACAAACGGUCCAAUAUGUACCUGAAAUCUUUCUAAUGCAAUAUUUAUUAACUUUUUUCAUAACUAAAAUAUUUUGCUAUUUAUUUAAUCUCUCUCUUACAGAAUGUGCUAUAUUCUAUUAACAGGAAUUUUAAG
This 610-nucleotide long non-coding RNA is filed under the name Bos indicus x Bos taurus (hybrid cattle). RNAcentral's name for it is "lncRNA (ENSBIXG00000003840.1)". The record is from RNAcentral. Lineage: Eukaryota; Metazoa; Chordata; Mammalia; Artiodactyla; Bovidae.